RNAcentral lists this transfer RNA (70 nucleotides) under Cymbiola nobilis. RNAcentral's name for it is "tRNA-Arg". Lineage: Eukaryota; Metazoa; Mollusca; Gastropoda; Neogastropoda; Volutidae. The record is from RNAcentral.
ACAUAAAAAGCGAGGAAAUUUGCGUGUGGUUUCGGCCCAUAUAUUGGGGGUGUGAGUCCCCCUUUAUGUU